ACUAAUGGCCAUACCAUCCUGAAUACGCCCGAUCUCGUCUGAUCUUGGAAGCUAAGCAGGGUCGAGCCUGGUUAGUACUUGGAUGGGAGACCGCCUGGGAAUACCAGGUGCUGUAAGUG
This 119-nucleotide ribosomal RNA is filed under the name Hucho hucho (huchen). The record is from RNAcentral. Lineage: Eukaryota; Metazoa; Chordata; Actinopteri; Salmoniformes; Salmonidae.